GCAAUGGAUGGAUGGCUCAGCUGGUUAGAGCGUGGUGCUGAUAAUGCCAAGGUUGCAGGUUCGACCACCUGCCUAUUCCUGCA
This is a non-coding RNA of Podarcis lilfordi (Lilford's wall lizard), 83 nucleotides long. NCBI's taxonomy places the organism in Eukaryota, Metazoa, Chordata, Lepidosauria, Squamata, Lacertidae. The record is from the annotation of a GenBank genome assembly.